Molecule: long non-coding RNA, 250 nt
Filed under: Brassica napus (rape)
Lineage: Eukaryota; Viridiplantae; Streptophyta; Magnoliopsida; Brassicales; Brassicaceae
Description: long non-coding RNA (BNAP_LNC004036)
Source: RNAcentral
AAGCAGGUUAUGUGGCUCUUGUCUUUGGUUUGGCCCUGUUGGCCCUGUUUGUACGCUUCUCUUUGGGCGUAAAAACCUCCACCACGACCCCGACUUCUUCCACCUCUCCAAUUGCUUCGGCCACCACGUCCUCUUCCUCGAUAUCCUCCAUAGCUCUCUUGCCGAGAGUCGGUAUAUAACAAUUUACCCGGAUCCUCGGUUUGUUCCUCCUCUUCUUCGCUUAUUCUUUCUUCAUACGCUUUUAAUCUCC